This 1091-nucleotide ribosomal RNA is filed under the name Cellulosimicrobium sp. RNAcentral's name for it is "bacterial SSU rRNA". It matches the Rfam family "Bacterial small subunit ribosomal RNA", at positions 327 to 1429 of the family's 1533-position model. Lineage: Bacteria; Bacillati; Actinomycetota; Actinomycetes; Micrococcales; Promicromonosporaceae. The record is from RNAcentral.
CGGCCCAGACUCCUACGGGAGGCAGCAGUGGGAAUAUUGCACAAUGGGCGAAAGCCUGAUGCAGCGACGCCGCGUGAGGGAUGAAGGCCUUCGGGUUGUAAACCUCUUUCAGCAGGGAAGAAGCGCAAGUGACGGUACCUGCAGAAGAAGCGCCGGCUAACUACGUGCCAGCAGCCGCGGUAAUACGUAGGGCGCAAGCGUUGUCCGGAAUUAUUGGGCGUAAAGAGCUCGUAGGCGGUUUGUCGCGUCUGGUGUGAAAACUCGAGGCUCAACCUCGAGCUUGCAUCGGGUACGGGCAGACUAGAGUGCGGUAGGGGAGACUGGAAUUCCUGGUGUAGCGGUGGAAUGCGCAGAUAUCAGGAGGAACACCGAUGGCGAAGGCAGGUCUCUGGGCCGCAACUGACGCUGAGGAGCGAAAGCAUGGGGAGCGAACAGGAUUAGAUACCCUGGUAGUCCAUGCCGUAAACGUUGGGCACUAGGUGUGGGGCUCAUUCCACGAGUUCCGUGCCGCAGCAAACGCAUUAAGUGCCCCGCCUGGGGAGUACGGCCGCAAGGCUAAAACUCAAAGGAAUUGACGGGGGCCCGCACAAGCGGCGGAGCAUGCGGAUUAAUUCGAUGCAACGCGAAGAACCUUACCAAGGCUUGACAUGCACGAGAAGCCACCAGAGAUGGUGGUCUCUUUGGACACUCGUGCACAGGUGGUGCAUGGUUGUCGUCAGCUCGUGUCGUGAGAUGUUGGGUUAAGUCCCGCAACGAGCGCAACCCUCGUCCCAUGUUGCCAGCGGGUUAUGCCGGGGACUCAUGGGAGACUGCCGGGGUCAACUCGGAGGAAGGUGGGGAUGACGUCAAAUCAUCAUGCCCCUUAUGUCUUGGGCUUCACGCAUGCUACAAUGGCCGGUACAAAGGGCUGCGAUACCGUAAGGUGGAGCGAAUCCCAAAAAGCCGGUCUCAGUUCGGAUUGGGGUCUGCAACUCGACCCCAUGAAGUCGGAGUCGCUAGUAAUCGCAGAUCAGCAACGCUGCGGUGAAUACGUUCCCGGGCCUUGUACACACCGCCCGUCAAGUCACGAAAGUCGGUAACACCCGAAGCCC